This 515-nucleotide ribosomal RNA is filed under the name uncultured bacterium. Its description in RNAcentral is "bacterial SSU rRNA". It matches the Rfam family "Bacterial small subunit ribosomal RNA", at positions 772 to 1290 of the family's 1533-position model. The record is from RNAcentral.
ACUAAAUAGAUACCCCGGUAGUCCACGCAGUAAACGAUGAUUACUCGCUGUUUGCGAUACACAGUAAAGCGGCUUAGCGAAAAAGCGUUAAGUAAUCCACCUGGGGAGUACGUUCGCAAGAAUGAAACUCAAAGGAAUUGACGGGGGCCCGCACAAGCGGAGGAACAUGUGGUUUAAUUCGAUGAUACGCGAGGAACCUUACCCGGGCUUGAAAUGCAUCUGACAGGAGCAGAGACGCUCUCUCCCUUCGGGGCAGAUGUGUAGGUGCUGCAUGGUUGUCGUCAGCUCGUGCCGUGAGGUGUCGGCUUAAGUGCCAUAACGAGCGCAACCCUCAUCAUUAGUUGCCAUCAGGUAAAGCUGGGGACUCUAGUGAGACUGCCAUCGUAAGAUGAGAGGAAGGUGGGGAUGACGUCAAAUCAGCACGGCCCUUACGUCCGGGGCGACACACGUGUUACAAUGGGUGUACAAAGGGCAGCUACAUGGCGACAUGAUGCUAAUCUCCAAAACCACUCUCA